AAUUUAUUUUACCCUAAACUUCCCUUUCCCCCUUACCUCCGCCUCCUUUAAUUUCCUUCCCUCUUCGCAGCUCUUCCCUCUCCGCAGCAAGCAAGGAGGAGCUCAGCAAGAUCUUCUUCCCUCUCUGUAACAAGCAAGGAGGAGCCCAGCAAGGGAUGAUUGCUUGUCGGAAGCCUGGCGAGGCAGAGGCCCCAUCGCCUGCUACAGCACGUGAAGCGGCUAGGGCGCUUUGGACCAACUGCUCCAGCACCUGUGCCACCAACGUUGUGUACUUCUCAAGCAUCUCCGCUACAACCGCUACCAGUAUCAUGAUCCCUUUUCUUCUUCUUGUUCUUCACCUUGGAAGGAGUCGAUCUUCCAAACAGGUCCCUAAUCCUUUUCUAAACUAGGAAGUUUUGAUGCGGAUAUCUACAAGACCGCCAUGAUUUUGAUUAUUCACUCACAGGUCCGGCUAAGGUAUAGGCCAUUAAGAUCUAUGCCUAGGGCCCCAAUUUUAUUGGGGUCCAUUAAUUAAUUAAUUAAAGAUAUUAAAAAAAAUUAAAUUAGCAUCAUUAAUAUUAAUUAAUUAUAAAUGUCUUACUAAUUUAUUAAUGGCACCUUAUCAAUUAAUUCAUUAUCUAUUCCACUUCCUAUUUAUACCUUGUACUUAUCUUUAUUUCCUUAAUAAUUACUUAUCAUAAUUUUAUAUGAAAUUUUAUUCUGCCUUAAAUAUAAUUCAUUUUUAAAUUGACAUAUGUCUUUAUUUUUUUAUUAUUACUCCAAUUCCUAUUUUAUUUUACAAUUAGUAAUACUAUUCUUAUAAGACCUAAUGAAUUCUUUUCUCCUCAAUAUUUCUUAAAAAUCCUAAUAGUUCACUCAUCAAUGCAUUGUGCCCUUUUCUUUUUUCAUUAGCGAUUUUGCAUAUUUCUCCUUCCUCACCGAUGAUACUCGCAGAGAACGUCCUUCUCUUCCUUUGUUGAUAAUUUUUCUUCCUCGUUCUUUCUUUUUAUUUCUCGAUAAUAAUAUGAAUUAGAGAUUUUUUUAUCAUAAAAUACAAAGUAAAAUGCAUUUGCAAAUUUUUUUUUUUUUAAAUUAAAAUUAAUAAAGUCUAUUUGACAUUUUUAUAAAAAGAUUAAAUAAUUUAAUAAUUUUAUUAAUAAAAAAUAAAAUUAUUAUCAAAAUACCCAUCAGAAAACUAAAUUUUAUAUCAAAAAUUAUUUUUUUAAAAAAUAAUAUUUAAUUCUUUUUAAUAACUAAUUUUAAAAAUAUUUUUUUAAAAUUAUUAUUUUUGGUCCCAAAUCUAAAUGAAAAAUGUUAAAGAAAAUUAAAAAUAUAUUAAAAAAAUUUGUUUUUUAAACUUUUUUGCUUAGAGCCUCAAGGAAUCUUGAGACGACCCUGUUCAUUCACAAUCCCUAAUCAAGCAUUCUUUCCACACAAUCAUUGAGUUAGAAUUUGUAUAAACAUUAAGUUUUGUUUUUCAUGGACAGAGGCAGGAUGACUUUUUCUUGAGUGGAAGUUCAACUGAUGAGGCAGAGGCAGAUGAUGAAUGGAUAGAUAGAAGUACUAGGAGAGGAAGCGUUGAAGUCCUUGAAGGUCCAAAUGUUGAAAAGGCAGCGGGCGUUCUCCGAGGAGCUCCGUCAAGUGAAAUCAUCUCAGCCGUCCCAUUUAUCUCCUUCAGUCUCUCAAGCUGCCGCCUCCCUUGGAGGGGCUGACACUGGGCUAGUUCAAAGGAGCCAGUCGCUCUCCAAGGACUCAGAGGCCCUAGAGGGUGCUCCAGUAAAACCUCCAAGAAACUGGGAGCAGAGUCCCCAGCCCCCAACCUCCCCUAGAUGGUCUAGUUGGCCAGAUUCGAGCUUGGGUGAGCAGCCAUCAGCCUGGAGCGCGAAGAGUCCCCAGCCCUCAGAUUCGAGCUGGGGUGAGCAGCCCUCAGAUUCGAGCUGGGGUGGGCAGCCAUCAGCCUGGAGCGCGAAAGUCCCCAGCCCUCAACCUCCCCUAGAUCGUCUUCUUGGACAGAUUGGGGCUCGGAUUUUGUCCCAUUUCAGCCAUCAUCCUGGAGCGCGAAGAUCCCCCAGUCUUCGCUUAUGCUACCACCUGCAGCUCGGCCAAGUUUGCCUACGCCUGAGGAGCGGCAAGCUCUGCGAAGUUUGUCAAUAACGGACUUGUUGGAGAAGAACUUGGUGUUCCAGACGGAGUUGAAGGAGCGGAUUUCGCGUCUCAGUGCAGAUUACGCCGCGUCCCAAGCUCAAGAGACUAAGCUACGGUCCUUGGCUGAGUACUGGGAGAAGAAGGCUAAGGCAAUCGAAGCUGAAAAAGCUCAAGAGACUAAGCUACGGUCCUUGGCUGAGUACUGGGAGAAGAAGGCUAAGGCAAUCGAAGCUGAAAAAUUGCACCUCUCAGAACGGAUGGCUAAGGUCCUGGUUGAGCUCGACGAGAGCAAGGCUGAAUUGGAGGCGGCCAGAUCCAAGAUGGAAGGGAUGAGCUCUAUGCUAAAUGGAGCCAGUUCUAUGCUAAAUGGAGUCAAGGUCAAGCUGGAGGGGGCGAGAACUGAGCUGCAAUCGGCUGCGAAGGAUAAGGCGUCCCUUUGCGUCAAGUUUAACUGUUAAGAGGGUAGAGUUGGCCGAAGAAAACUAACCGAAGCAGGUGACCAUUUCGUGUCUCUCGAUAGCCAUCCAAGCCAUUGUGUUUUUUUUUUUUCUCUUUUUUUUUAAAAAAAAUCUAUUUUGAAAAAUGUGUAGAGUUAAUCAGAAUCAUCUUUGGCAAUGAACCAUCAUCCGUGCAA
Zingiber officinale is the source of this 2758-nucleotide RNA transcript. RefSeq lists it as uncharacterized. NCBI's taxonomy places the organism in Eukaryota, Viridiplantae, Streptophyta, Magnoliopsida, Zingiberales, Zingiberaceae. The record is from RefSeq and is a predicted model, not a curated record. The transcript is spliced from 3 exons.